GACAUAGGUGGCAACCGUUAUCCGGAAUUACUGGGCGUAAAGAGUGCGUAGGUGGUUCAAUAAGUUACUGGUGGGAAAUCGGGGCUCAACCUCGUGGAAGUCAGUAAUACUAUUAAACUAGAGGGUCGGAGAGGUUAACGGAAUUCUAUGUGUAGCGGUAAAAUGCUUAAAUAUAUAGAGGAACACCAAACGGCGAAGGCAGUUAACUAUUCGAUUCCUGACGUUGAGGCACGAAAGCGUGGGGAGCAAGACGG
RNAcentral lists this ribosomal RNA (254 nucleotides) under uncultured bacterium. RNAcentral describes it as "partial 16S ribosomal RNA". It matches the Rfam family "Bacterial small subunit ribosomal RNA", at positions 524 to 776 of the family's 1533-position model. The record is from RNAcentral.